RNAcentral lists this long non-coding RNA (590 nucleotides) under Populus trichocarpa (black cottonwood). Its description in RNAcentral is "long non-coding RNA (PTRI_LNC004354)". The record is from RNAcentral. Lineage: Eukaryota; Viridiplantae; Streptophyta; Magnoliopsida; Malpighiales; Salicaceae.
AGCAAAGCAGUAGAGAACAAGAGAGAAAGAGGGGCUGCCAAGGGCAGCUACCUUGCUGUCAUUGCAGCAGCUGCAAAUGCAGCAAUAAGAGCUGGGAGUUGAGUUUGAGUAAAGUAAUCUUCCUCCUCCAUGUAUUUGUAUUGUAUUCUUUCUCUAUCUCUAAUAAUAUGAACUAUUUCCCGUGGAUGUAGGCAAUUUGCCGAACCACGUUAAAUAUUGUGUCUCAAUGUGUUUAGCCUCCAACGGACAACUAUCAGAACAUCACCAGUUCGCACAUGAGGAGACGGAAUCCCCAACAAUUAUUGCAUCACAACUUUUCAUGGACCGGUAUAUUAGUGAAUGGAGGUCUUCACUUCUUUAGUUCUUUUAUUAUUGGAAGAGCAACUACGUCAAUAGUCGGUACUGUACUGCUGCUCGACAAAAAGUUGCUUCGGUAGGAAAAUAUACGUCCAAGCCAAAUUCCAAGUCUCGCUUUGGGGUAGCUUAGACAAUGGUGUGCAGCCCGACCAUAAAAGAAAAUGAAAUUUUUUAAGCUAAUUACCCACCAACAUGAUCUUGAGAAGAGCACGUGAUGUGCAUAUGCAGGGCUA